ACUCGGGCACGAUCCUUAAUGUAAGGAACCGACCCGUAGUUCAAUCCUGAGGGA
Corynebacterium sp. HMSC08F01 is the source of this 54-nucleotide non-coding RNA. The record is from Rfam. Lineage: Bacteria; Bacillati; Actinomycetota; Actinomycetes; Mycobacteriales; Corynebacteriaceae.